CCUACGGGUGGCUGCAGUGGGGAAUAUUGCACAAUGGGCGCAAGCCUGAUGCAGCGACGCCGCGUGAGGGAUGACGGCCUUCGGGUUGUAAACCUCUUUCAGCACGGAAGAAGCGAAAGUGACGGUACGUGCAGAAGAAGCGCCGGCUAACUACGUGCCAGCAGCCGCGGUAAUACGUAGGGCGCAAGCGUUGUCCGGAAUUAUUGGGCGUAAAGAGCUCGUAGGCGGUUUGUCGCGUCUGCUGUGAAAGCCCGGGGCUUAACCCCGGGUGUGCAGUGGGUACGGGCAGACUUGAGUGCAGUAGGGGAGACUGGAACUCCUGGUGUAGCGGUGAAAUGCGCAGAUAUCAGGAAGAACACCGAUGGCGAAGGCAGGUCUCUGGGCUGUUACUGACGCUGAGGAGCGAAAGCAUGGGGAGCGAACAGGAUUAGAUACCCCAGUAGUC
This 445-nucleotide ribosomal RNA is filed under the name uncultured bacterium. Its description in RNAcentral is "partial 16S ribosomal RNA". It matches the Rfam family "Bacterial small subunit ribosomal RNA", at positions 338 to 795 of the family's 1533-position model. The record is from RNAcentral.